UACGUAGGGUGCAAGCGUUGUCCGGAAUUAUUGGGCGUAAAGAGCUCGUAGGCGGUUUGUCGCGUCUGCUGUGAAAACUCGGGGCUUAACUCCGGGCCUGCAGUGGGUACGGGCAGACUAGAGUGCGGUAGGGGAGACUGGAAUUCGUGGUGUAGCGGUGAAAUGCGCAGAUAUCAGGAGGAACACCGGUGGCGAAGGCGGGUCUCUGGGCCGUAACUGACGCUGAGGAGCGAAAGCGUGGGGAGCGAACAGG
Molecule: ribosomal RNA, 253 nt
Filed under: uncultured bacterium
Lineage: Bacteria
Description: partial 16S ribosomal RNA
Rfam family: Bacterial small subunit ribosomal RNA
Source: RNAcentral